GAUGAACGCUGGCGGCGUGCCUAAUACAUGCAAGUCGAGCGAACAGACGAGGAGCUUGCUCCUCUGACGUUAGCGGCGGACGGGUGAGUAACACGUGGAUAACCUACCUAUAAGACUGGGAUAACUUCGGGAAACCGGAGCUAAUACCGGAUAAUAUAUUGAACCGCAUGGUUCAAUAGUGAAAGACGGUUUUGCUGUCACUUAUAGAUGGAUCCGCGCCGCAUUAGCUAGUUGGUAAGGUAACGGCUUACCAAGGCAACGAUGCGUAGCCGACCUGAGAGGGAGGUCGGGUAGACGGGCAGUGAGACACGGUCCAGACUCCUACGGGAGGAAGCAGUAGGGAAUCUUCCGCGAGGGGCGAGAGCUUGACGGAGCAACACCGGCUGAGGGAUGAAGGUCUUCGGAUCGGAAAACUCUGUUAGUAGGGAAGAACAAAUGUGUUAGUAACUAUGCACGUCUUGACGGUACCUAAUCAGAAAGCCACGGCUAACUACGUG
This 497-nucleotide ribosomal RNA is filed under the name uncultured bacterium. RNAcentral describes it as "partial 16S ribosomal RNA". It matches the Rfam family "Bacterial small subunit ribosomal RNA", at positions 28 to 507 of the family's 1533-position model. The record is from RNAcentral.